Molecule: long non-coding RNA, 5569 nt
Organism: Sarcophilus harrisii (Tasmanian devil)
Lineage: Eukaryota; Metazoa; Chordata; Mammalia; Dasyuromorphia; Dasyuridae
Source: Ensembl
CCAACUUUUCCAUUUAUUUUGACUCGCAUCUGAAACUUCCUAAUGUACCGUCUCCUUUUUAGAAAGUGAACUCCUUGAAAGCAAAACCUGCCUUCGUUUGCUAUUUGGGUCCCAGCACUUAGCACCAUGCUUCACACAUAGUAAGCACCCCAAAAAUGCUCGUCCAUUCAUCCAUGUCCCAAAUUUGUUCAAGUCCCAGCUCUGCUGGGCAGGAAUAGAACUUCUCUUUGCCUAACUAACACAUAAUCACCUAAUCCAUGCACACAUAAGGCCAGUCUUGUUCCCAAUUCAAGAGCUCACAGCAUUUUAGAGCUGAGGGACUCCCAAAAUCCAACCCUCAUUUCAUAAAUGAAGAAACUGAGACCGGAGCAAUAACUUGUUUAAGAUCCCAUAGCUUGUUACAUUUUGAUUACCCUGCCCUCAGUAGCUCUGGACAAGUGACUCAACCCCACUGAGCCUCAGUUUCCUCAUCUUCAAACGGGGAUCACAGGACUAUUAGGAGUAUCGAAUGAGUUGAACCAUGUAAAGUGCUUUGCAAACUUUCCAACCCUUGACAAUUCUGAACCAUCAGAAAGCAGUGGCAGCAGCCAGCAAGGCCCAGAACAAACUGCAGAUUUCUUAAAUCCCAGUCUAACACUCUGGUUGAUAGAGAUCCCCAUGGCUGACCACGGGGCACAUCAGAAAAGAUCGAAAGAAAUCAAACCUAUUCUCACUGACUUGGAAAGACCCGAAAAUCUGAUUUAAAAGGCAAACAGACCUUAAUAGGAAAAAAAUCUCUUAUCAAAUAAAUUGUCAAGGAGGAGUCAGCAGGAUGUCACUCAAGGCCAAGAGCAAAUAGCUUAUGCAUUUAGUUGUUUUUUGGAAGAAAUACCCAGAUUAGAGAUAAUAGCUUUAGAGGAAAUAUAAGGCAAAAGUCAGCUCUUUCUAUGACUCUGCUUUAAAAGGCUAGAGUCACUUUCUUCCUGUUAACUAGGUCCUUUUUAUCUGGAAAUCUCUAAUUUAUGACUGAAGUGCCAGACCAAGUUUUGCAUCCCAUGACUUCUCCUGAAUAGUAUUCUUUUCCCCAGCUCAUUGAAAUGAAUAAUUUGAAUAGGCAAUAAACAAUAAAUAAAAUUUAUAUUCUGAAUAAUGUAUAAUUUGGAGGUGUGAUUUUAAAAGGGUUGCAAUUGUUUUCCCCAUCAGAUAUAUAUAUAUAUGUAUAUAUGUGCAUAUAUAUAUAUAUAUAUCUAUUUUUUUUUUCCCCCUGUACUGGGAUUCAAUUUCUUUGGACCGCAUUUCCCUCUAUUUCAUUUUUUCCCCCCAUAGUUUUUGGAAUUUUUAUUAAAGCAAUAAUUUUAUAAUCCAAAUUACAUUUCUUUGCUCAGCUAUCAUUUGUUGUCUAAAACAGUGGUGAUAUUCUGAGGUUUUCCACGGUAAAUAAUUAAGAGAUUAAAGAGAACCCUUUAAAUUUUUGUACUGUACCAAAACCUCCCCCUCCCCCAUCAAACAUUAAUUUCUUUUUAUAUUUGACUAUUUGGGAUCACUUUUUGUUUUUGCUUUAAAAGGAAUAGGUAAUCUAGGACCAGCAUUAAGUUUGCUAGACCUGGCAUUUGCUGGGUACAUCAAGGUCAAAGUUUCCUUUCCAUGUAUUCUUUAUUUCAUAUUUUGCAAUGUUUUUUUUUUUUUUUUUAAAUUUUAUUUCACAACAUUUUAAGUCUUUUGAUGUUUCUUUUCUGUGAGGAAGCAGACCUUCCAUCCCCCGGUCCCUCAUCUUUCCUUUUAGACAGGAGGCACGUCGGGAGCACUGUUGACCGCUUUCUGGGCGGCCUCUUUCGCCUGGUGAGCUUGCAGCACCGCCACCGCUUCGUCGACCUUGGACCGCAGAGACUCCGGGGACUCGAGCAUGUGGAGAAGCUCCGAGUUGUCGAUCUCCAGCAACAUGCCAGUGAUCUUACCGGCCAGGGUCGGGUGCAUGGCCUGGAUGAGCGGGAACAGCCGUUCUCCCAGCAUCUGCUUCUGCUCCUGUGGAGGGGCGGCGGCCAACAUGGAAGCCGUGAGCGGCUCCUGACCCUGCACGUGGACGGCGGGCUGCUGCAGGGUCACCUGAGGCGGCGGGUUCAGGUGCUGCUGGGGAUUGCGCACGCCAGCGGCGUACUUGUACUGGGGCGCCGAACGCACGGCUGGGGUCCCCGCGGAGGCGGACCCCGCGGCCGCGCGGGGGCCCAUGCUCUGCGAGGUGGCGUUGGAGACCCGGGAGGACAUGGCCCUUGGCACCUGCGAGGAAGACGGCCUCAUGGUCCCGAACGGGGGCCUGGGAGCCGCCGGCCGGAUGGCCCCGGGCAUGUUUUGGAACGGAUGAGGCCUGGCCCCCUGGGCCGUCCACCGGGGACUGGGUCUGAGAGGGGCGAUCUGGCCGGGGGGAUAGUAGGCGGGGCGGUUCUGCGCCUGGGGGAUGGCCGCCAUGAAGUAGCCCGAGGGAGGCUGGUAAGGGUUGAUCACGGGGUUGGGCACGGCCCGGACGCUGGCCAUCCUCUGCAUGUACUGGUUCGUGAGGUGGGCCUGCCGCUCCUCUUUGCGCUGGGCCAAGGCUAUGUACAGGGGCUUGGUGGCCACGAUCCGGCCGUUCAUCUCCGUGACGGCUUUGGUGGCCUCCUCGGGGGAGGAGAAGCAGACGAAGCCGAAGCCUUUGCUGCGGCCCCCUUCCAUCAUCACCUUGGCGCUGGUGAUGGUCCCGAAGGGGGAGAACUCUUUGCGCAGGCGCUCGUCGUCGAUGCCGUCGUCCAGAUUCUUCACGUACAGGUUCACCCCCUGGUACCUGGUGAUGCGGUCCUGCUUCAUCUGCUCGAACUUGCGCUUGAGUUCCGUCUGGCGCUCGACCUUUUUCUGAGCCCGGCCCACGUAGAUCUUCUUCCCGUUCAGCUCCUUGCCGUUCAUCUCCUCCACGGCCUUCUGGGCGUCCUCGUGCCUCUCGAAGUUCACGAAGCCGAAGCCUUUGGACGUGCCGCUCUCGUCCGUCAUGACUUUGACGCUGAGGGCGGGCCCGAACUUACCGAAGAGCCUCUUGAGCCUCAGAUCGUCCAUGUCCUCCCCGAAGUUCUUGAUGUAAACGUUGGUGAACUCUUUGGCCCUGGCCCCCAGCUCGGCCUCCCUCUCUUUGCGGGACUUAAAGCGGCCCACGAAGACCUUGCGGUCGUUCAGGAGCAUGCCGUUCAUCUUGUCGAUGGCCCUCUCGGCCGCCUCGCGGGUCUCGAAGUGCACGAACCCGUAGCCCUUGGAGCCGUUCUCGUCGCACACCACCUUGCAGGACAGGAUGUUGCCGAAGGCGGAGAAGGUAUCGAACAGAGCCUUGUUGUCGAUGGACUUGUCCAGGUUUUUGAUGAAGAUGUUGCCCACGCCGCUUUUGCGGAGGGAGGGGUCCCUCUGGGACCACAUGAUGCGCACCGGCUUGCCCUUGAUGACAUCGAAAUUCAUGGUCUCCAGGGCUCUCUCGGCAUCCGCCGGCUGCUGGAAGUUGACAUAGGCGUAGCCCAGGGAGCGCCUGGUGAUCAUGUCCCUGCAGACGCGGAUGGAGAGGAUGGGCCCGGCCGGGCUGAACUUCUCGUACAGCAUCGCCUCGCUCACCUCGGGGUGCAGGUCCCCCACGUACAGCGAGGCCGUGGGGUAGCUGGGGGCGCUGGGGUGCAUCUCGCCGCCCGCCGCGGCCGCCGCCGCCGCCGCCGCCCGAGGAGAAGGAGGAGGAGGAGGAGGAGGAGGAGGAGGAGGAGGAGGAGGAGGAGGUGGAGGAAGAGGAGCAGCAGCAGCAGCAGCAGGAGGAGGAGGAGGAGGAAGAGCAGGAGCUGCGGCGGGAGCAGGAGAAGGACCAGGAGGAAGAGCAGGAGGAGGGCCACGGGCCGCCGCCGCCCGAGCUCUCCGGCAAGAGGCAGCUGGGUGGAUAGAGCACGGCCGGGGAACCAAGACUGAUUUUCCCAAGUUCAAAUCAAGCCUCAGACACUUCCUAGCUGGGUUAGGAAGUCACUUCACCUGGGCAAAUCACUUCACCCCGUUUGCUCCGUUUCCUGUCUGCAAAGUGAACUGGAAAAGGAGAUGGCAAAUCUCCCCCAGCAUCUUUUCCAAGAAAAUCCCCAAAGGGGUAGCAGGGUUGGACAAGAUUGGAAAAAAGCACAUUGUCAUUGUUAAGUAUGUUAAAUUCUUUAAAAGGAGACGAAAUGGAAAGAUAAGAAGCAAUUCCAAGACUGGCUAAGAUACCCUGAGAUUGGGGGUGGGUGCCUACUAUCUGACUUAAAGGCAGGUGGUUACUUUACUCGAUAAACUUUGAGGAGCUCGGGAGUCUCCUGGACACCAUUUAAAAGGGUCAGAAAUUUCACUAUUAGAAUUUCAUGGCUUUGGGUGUUGAGAUGUAAAAGGAGAAUGGCUGGCUGGUCCCAUGCUGAGUGGUAAGCCAGGAUUUCUUUGGGAUAGGGUCACAGGCUGGCUACCUGAAGGGACAGAUACAAAAGGGAAUUCGGGAUGAAGAGUCCCUUUCAACGUCAAGAACAUCAGCUACUGGCGUCCAUACACUGUUUGGAUGGGCUCAGAAUGGAAAGUUUCCCCAAACAAGACAGGAAGUGGUCAAGGAAGAGCUUUAAAGGCUAGUAGUGAAUGAAAUCUGGGGAGCCUUUCACUCUCUUUUCAAAUAUUAAUUUAUUUUUCAGAUGUAGCCUGGGGCAUUAAAUCAACUAAAAUCAGAGAAGAGCUAUGCAAAUAUUUGUUAGAAAUGUAGAGAUCAUCCGGAACAGUCACUGGUCAGAUAAAGGCACAUCCUUCUCCUCAAAGCUCUAAUCUGCAAAAACAAAAUGCACAUGCAGAAAUAUCUCCCCCAUUCUUUAAUUCUUUUCGGGUUCCCCCCAGUCCAUCUUCACAGAGCAAAACAUAUAAAAUUUGGAGGAACCCCUAAUAUAGGAUUUGAGAUGAAAAACACAAAAUAGAAAUUGCCUGCGGUCAGUGCAGAUGCAAAUCGGGGUACGGUUCCUUUCUGGCUGGUAUUUAAAACAGAAAGACUGAGACAGAGAACUAACCGAUGCUUGAUUCGAUGAUUCCAAGAACAAUUCCAGGCCUCCAAAAGAUGAUGGCUUCAUCAUCUGGUCUUGCUAUUUUUCACCUUUAGAAAAAGUUGAAAUCUUGACAUGGGGACUGUGGAAGGUCUCGUUUGUUAAAAAGACAGGCUGGCUAAAAAGCAAGAACAUCAAAAGAAUGGAUCUAACACCCCUCACCCCGAUUGUUCAAGCCAAUCAUGAGGUCAGAGAUCCCUGAACAAGACAUGUGGUUUAACCUAGACUUUCUUUCUUUUUUUUUUUUUUUUAAUAGCCUUUUAUUUACAGGUUAUAUGCAUGGGUAACUUUACAGCAUUAACAAUUGCCAAACCUCUUGUUCCAAUUUUUCACCUCUUACCCCCCCCCCACGCCCUCCCCCAGAUGGCAGGAUGACCAGUAGAUGUUAAAUAUAUAUUAAAAUAUAAAUUAGAUACACAAUAAGUCUACGUGACCAAAACGUUAUUUUGCUGUACAAAAAGAAUCAGACUCUGAAAUAUUGUACAAUUAGCUUGUGAAGGAAA